This 377-nucleotide ribosomal RNA is filed under the name uncultured fungus. Its description in RNAcentral is "bacterial SSU rRNA". It matches the Rfam family "Eukaryotic small subunit ribosomal RNA", at positions 20 to 370 of the family's 1831-position model. The record is from RNAcentral. Lineage: Eukaryota; Fungi.
GUAGUCAUAUGCUUGUCUCAAAGACUAAGCCAUGCAUGUCUAAGUAUAAACACCUUUAUACUGCGAAACUGCGAACGGCUCAUUAUAUCAGUUAUAAUCUACUUGAUCGUAUCCUCUUACUUGGAUAACCGUAGUAAUUCUAGAGCUAAUACAUGCAAAAGUUCCCGACUGGUGACGGAAGGGAAGUAUUUAUUAGGUCCAAAAUCAAUGCUGGCCAUUCCAAACUGGGGCAACCUGGGGUCAGGAAAAGUUGAUGAUUCAUAAUAACUAAACGAAGCGCAGGGCUCGUCUCGGCGCUGAUACAAACGAGUUUCUGCCCUAUCAACUUUCGAUGGUAGUAUAGGGGACUACCAUGGUCGCAACGGGUAACGGGGAAU